UCCCCCUUUCCCCCUCCUCUCUGGUUGCUGUCAGUCUGUUCCUUGUUUCCAUGCCUCCGGUUCUAUUUAGCUCAUUUGUUUUGUUCACUAGUUCCUCUCAUAGGUCCACCACAUUCUUUUUGUUGGAAAAGAGAGUUACUAAGACCUGAAUUAAACUUCGCCUCUUGGUGGAAAGGUUGUCAAAGAACUGAUGGACAUGUUUUGAAACGAUUACAGUUGGCCUUCUGAUCACAAAUUAUUUAUGUGCCUCACACAUGAAAAGUACACUCAUCUUCACCUAAGAUCCUUCUUCUUCAAAAAAGUCUCAUCCAUUAUGGCUGACUCAGGCUCAGGAGCCAGGGUCUCCUCAUCUAAAUCGGGUCUAGGUACAUACGAAGCUUCUCUAAUGCAGUUCCCUGAGUAGAGCAACUUGAAUGUUGCUCCCCUCGAUCUGGAGAAGUACAUUAACAGGACAGGUUGUCAGCCCCCCGCACACGCACACAAUGCCGGAAUAGGCUCAGGGUAACUGCCAUGGAUGCUCCUGUAUUGGUAAUACUUAAACAUUUUAGAACAAUGUUAUUUAUAUGUCUUUACUUUAAAUUCUGAAAUAAUUUCAGACUCACAGGAAAGCUGCAAAGACAGUACAAAGAAUCUUGUCCUCCACAAAUGAUACAACCAUGUAAAACAAUCAAACCAGGAAAUUAAUAGUGCUGAUAUAAUACUGUUAAAUUAAUCUAUAGGCCUCAUUCAAAUUUUGUCAAUUCUCUUACUAAUGAAUUUUUGCUAGUCCAGGAUCCAUCACAUUUAGUUGCCUUGUCUCCUCAGCUUUCUCUCUGGCGUGGAUGUUCCCAUUUAGAAAGAGGGAAGCCAGCAGUCACCAGUCCAUAGCUCCUGAAAUCCAGCUUGGCACGGGAGUGAGCUCAGUCCUACUGCCCAAGAGUGAUUUUCUGCUAUUCUCACAUCUACCCUGUGGGCUCCUGUUUUUGCCCUCGGAAUUACCCUUCCUUUUCCAUGAAAUGUAGCAGCCUGUGUUUGCAGCUAAGUAGUUUUCUCAGUGUUCUGUGCUCUUUCAGGUGAUGGUCAGUCAGGUGUGGCCACAAGAGGAGACACAGAAGAGGAACAAAAAAAAACCAAAUUUACUAUACUCACAGGGGAGCCACUGCGUGCCACACACGACUGCCACAAGGGAAGUGCCAGGUUUUAGUCAGGUGGCAGCAGACAGGAAGUGGAAGAGAGGCAUUAGGUUAGAGUCUUUACUGGGGUUUCCUUAGAGAAGGCAGAAAGGUCAGGGUGACAAAUUAAGAUCGGCUAGUUUGAGUAAUUUCUGUGGGUUCUAAAUUAUAAAUCUCUGGUGGCCUGAUACCUGGUCCUAGAAUGAUUAAGGGUCAGAUUAGAGGAGGUGUAGUUCUGGACUAGUUAGUUUGCAUAUCAAAAACAGGCUUCUGGCGGAGUCCUUUGCUAUCUUUAAGGAUUGGCUAACCCUGAGGGCAGUGUCUUCCUAGAAAGGGUUUUAAAAGCUGUGGAAACAUCAUAAUAUAUAGAAUAUAAAAACUAUAAGCAGUACACUCAGCUUGCUCUAUUCUUGUAGAAGUGUUGGGAGUAUUUGGGAGUCCAAAGACUUCUUUUCAUUUUACACUGCUUGUCCCUUUAGUCCAAGCUGGCAGUGCUCCUGCUAGUACAGUUUUUCGAAAUAUUUGUGGUUUGCUGAUGACUCUUACCUGGGUUUACUACCUUAGACAAAAGCCACAUUCUCAAAUCUUAUCAAAAUAAACCCCUCUACCUAGAGCUUCCCGUGAGGCUGCUGUGGUGCAACAUCCUUCAGAUUAGGGGAAUCCCUAUUCUUUAACGGAAGGACCUGGGAGGCACCUCCUUGGGGUUCUUAGGGGGCCUUUUGUCUAUCGCCAAGAUUCUCGGAAGCAUUGCCUUUGAUCUUGCUGAGAUUUAACAAAGGAUACAAUCCCAAAUGUCUCAAACUGAGCUCAUUAUCUUCUGUCCCAUAGUCUAUUGAGUGGGGCGACCAUCUCAGAUAACAGCAUUGGUCUAGUCUUUCAAACCACUAGAGACCUCAAAAUCAUCUUUGGUUCCUUUCCCACCCUCUUCCUUUGUAAGCGGUAUGUUGUCAAGUGUUGACAGUUUUUACCACAGCAAAAUUUCUUCAGUUCAAUUCUGUCAUUCAUGAUGCUCUAGUUGGACACUUAUUUCUUCCCUGGACUACUAUAGUAGUUGCUGAAUGGAAUUUCCUAUUUUCAGAGUCUCUGCUUUCUUCCAGCUCUAGUCUAUGGCUGGCAUUAGCUUCCUAGAACAAAUUAAUUAUCUCCCCAACCCAGAAAUCUUCAAUAGCUUAUUCUCUAGAGACCAGAGUGAAAACCCUUUCACAUAGCAUGCAAGGCCUUCCAGAUUUUGAUCCCUACCUGCCCUUAAGCCUUUAACCCACACUCUUCCACACUUACUCUUCGCCAUAGCCAAAAUGUAAUGUUUUGAAAGUUUCUAACACAUUUUCAUUUUUCUUCAUAGCACUUCUGCACAUUCUGUUUCUUUGGCUUGGUAUGAAUUUUCUUUCUUCCUCAGUCAGUCGCUAGCCUCCUUAUCCUUCAAGGCUCAGCUCAGAUCCCACUUCUCCUCAAAGCUUUUUCUGACUCCCUCAGUCCAAAUGAAACGUGGCAUCCACUAUGUUUCUGUGGCUGCUCAUUGUCCUUCUGUAAUCAUAUUGGUCCAUUCUAUCACUUAGCGUAGUCAGAUGGGGGUGGAGGGUGUGUGUGUGUGGUCCUCCAGACUCUGAGCUUCUUGAGUGCAAAAGGGAACUGGAGCAAAGGAUGCAUCUUAUUUCUUUAUUUUCUGUGUCCUUAUAUAACUUAGAUGGCUAACAACUGCUUAGUGACUUGAGAAGAGAAUGAAUUUUAAUUUAGGAAUAAAAUGGCAAUUGGAAAUAAGCAUCUGGUUCAUGGGAGGAGAUUGGCUGAGGUGCCCUAUCUGAAAUGUUGGUAGAGACACCAAAGUGGUAAGUUGAGGUGGCCACUUUAGAUGAAAACAGGGGGUUGGUUUAAUUAUAGAGUGCAACUUUGGUCUCUUUACUGUCAUUGUUCCUGCUGUUUAUAACAAUGAACACCAAAUCUGUGAUGUGCGGAGUGGAGUGUGUUUUAUUAGUCUCUAUGGGAAGCACUUUGAAAAGGUUAUGCAGGGAUAGGAGAAUUCAGCUGUUUUGCACACACCACUGUAUCCCUAUCACCUUCAUGGUACUUGGCAUGUAAUAGGAGCUCAAUAAAGAUCAGUUAAGGAAAAAAUGAGGAGAAUGAUUUCCCGUGUGACUCUAGGGUACCUACAUGCGCCGUACUCGAGGAACAUAGCUGAGGGUGCUUCUUCAAAAGUCAGCUCAAGUUAAGAGAAGGCUUAUUUGUCACAAGUGACUUAUCUAGGGUCCUCUUGAUUCUCAGAGUGUACUGCUUUGCCACAGCGGAGUGGGAGUUAUUAGGGCUGUGGGAGGUAGGCAGGGUGAUUGGUGGCAAGUAAUUGGCAGAAUUGCGAUCUGAAUUGGGCAGUCAGAAGUGACAGGAGCUUCUCCUAGGUGGCCAGGAGGGGUGUCUGGGCUGUGUCCUUAGCUAAGGAAGAGGAGACUGUUUAAGCUUUGUCAGGGUUUUGUUUGUUUGUUUGUUUUAUUUUUAAAUAAUAAGAAUCCUUGCCAGAAACCAGCCUUCCUGGGUCCAGUCUCAGUGCACUGUGCUUUCUAUACGACCUUUCGCAGGCUGUACUUACACCCUGGGCUAUGUUUUGAGCUGACAAAUGGAGGUUUCUUUUUCAGCUAUGAGAACUGGGGUGGAGAGAGGGUUUCAAGACAAUUAGGUAAGUGGCUUGGCAUCAAAAUAGAGCCUACAUGGGUUUAUAGUUUUUCUUUGAAAGUUUUAGCAAGGUCCUAGGCUGACAGCCUAUGGUGCAUGGUUGUCUGGAAUACUGAAUAUCCUUCUUGAAGCUGGACUUCCCCUGUAUUCCAUUCUGAGUAUCAAACCCGGGAAGCCUCUCUGAGUCUGUGAUUGUGAUAAUUGGAUGGGAGGGGUUGGGGCAAUUUAGGAAGAUGAUGGGGGCCUGACCUCUUCCUGCCUUUGGAAUCCACAAAGGAGGGAGAAUGGGGAAAAUGAUGAAUAGUUGAUCAAAAAAUGGGGAGUGUCCCUCCUAAAUUAGGACAGCUGGCUCAGCGACAAAAUCGUUUUACUCUGCUAAUGGCCCUCAGAACCAGAUGCUAUGGAAACAGAAAUUAAACUACGACUUUGGGCAGCUCUCUGCAUCCAGUGAGGGCAGUGUAACCUCUUCUCUCUGCCCCGGCCCAGCCAUGGGUUCCCCUAGGGGAGUCUCAAGAGUUUUGAGAGAGGGGGCUUGUUGGGCCCAUGUCCCUAGAUCCCAGGGAGAGGGUAGAUUCAAUUCAGAGGAGCCUCAGGAUAUAGUGGGUUUUACAUCUGCUCGACCUUUGGUUUGUCCUUGGAGACUCUGUGCCUUGUUCUUUUUGGUAGGGCUAGUUCAAGGUGAUCUCUCCCUGUUCCAUAGAUAGGAGGGUUGGCCUGCUUGGUCUCUCCAUAUCCCCGAGAAACCAAUUUUGCUGCAGGGCUGGGUGAACCAUAUGGCAGCCUAGAUUACAAUGAUUGUUGGCGUUCGUCAACAGAGAAAGCGGGCUUUUUGGCUAUAGCUAAUCCCUCAGGUAGGGUUGCCACACCAUCUGUGAACACAGCAUAUAGGAUCAGCUAGACGGGCAUGCGGUCCUGUUCUUAUCCACUCUGCUUCCCGAAGAAGGGAGAGGCAAGAUCGUCAUCAAAUAUUGGCUAAUAGGUAUGUUUUUUUAGCUCCUUUAUUGUUAUGUUCCUUGAAGGAUGCUAGGGAGGUCUAGUAGUCAUGUGUCUUGCUCUUAAGAGGUUUAUGGUCUAGUUGGGGAUGUCAGAUGAAUGUGAGUCAAUAACAAACAACAUAAAGCAAAAGGUACAUAAUAAUUGCAAAGAGGGAAAAUAGACUAUACAAUUCAAAGAUAGGGAAGAUCAAUUAAGGGCUAAAAUUUUCCAGGACAAGGUUAGGACUGGAGGUCAGUCUAGAAUAAUGAGUGAAUGAGUGGGUUUUUGUGGUUCAGGAGGAUAAGGGAAAGGCUUCUAGGCCAAAAGAGCAAUAUGAACAGAAUAGAGACAAGCAUGCUGUCUUUACAAGACCACGAGGAGAUUAAUGUGGUUGGGGUAGAGAUAGAGGGGAAAUGAGAUUAGGAAAGAAGGGCAAAACAGAUUAAAGAGGGUCUCCAGAGAUAGGCAGAGGAGUUUGUGCUGGGUUCUAGGGGAGAUACGGUGCUAUUGUAGGUACUGGUGUGGAGAUAUGAUAUGAAGAGAAGAAUGUUUGCAGAUACUUUGCAGACACAAUUUGGAGUAGACUGGAGUUGGAGAGAGAUAAAUACUGAAGAGAUCAAGUAGGGCGUUAUAAAGUCCUUGCAGCCCUGGGAAGAGUCUGGUAACUAGAUGGUGUUGGGUUUUUUUUGUUUGUUUGUUUUUUUCCAGAUUCUAUGAGACUUGGUGAUGAGCUGGGUAGCAGGCCUGAAGGAGAGAAAGGGGUCAAGGUUUGAUCUUGGAAACCUGGGAAAAAUAAUAGUGCCAUUAGCAAAAAUGGAGAACUUGUGAGGAAAAGUAAUUUUAAGGGAGAAAAUGAUGAAUUUGGCAAUGAUUUUAUUUACUUAACAAAUGCUUUUGUGACACAAUGUACUUAGCACUGUAUUAACCACUUUAUAAAUGUUAAUUCAUCUAGUUCUCAUAACCAUAUAAAAUAAAUACUGAUAUUAUCCUCUUUAUUACACUGAGAAAAACACACAUAGAGAAGCUAAACGAUUUUCCCAAGGUCAUGAAGCUGUAAAUAAAUGGCAGAGGCAGGAUUCCGAACCCCAGCAGUUUAUGCUAGGCUUCCUCUUGUUGCUGAGAGGCACAAGUAGAAAAUACAGUGGACAGUAGGAGAUCAAAAUUUGGGGGGUGCUUUCUUUUUGCAGAACUCCUUGCAGGAAAUGUAACAAUGAAUACAGCGUGAAUAUACCAUCAAUGAGCUUGCAAAGCUCUAGUGAGGGAACGGCAGAUCAUCACAUCAUGGUCAAGGGUGCUACGUUUUAUGCUACAGGAGAGAAGGAGAGAGGAGUGGGGGACAACUACAUAUCUAGUUAGAGAUGUCAGAAAAGACUCCAAGGAGAAGGAGAUGGAAUUAUAGCUAAACCCUAAAAGAUGGGUUAAGUGGACUUUGGUAGUUGUUAGGAAGAGAAAGUCAUUCCUGGCAGAGGCAGAGAUAAAGGCUUGAUUCCAGUCAUGGAAGAAAGAAAGUUCAAACAUUUCUGGGAUCAGCACACUGUCCCGUACCCUAGCUCAGCAGAUGUUUAACUUGAACUAGGAGCGGAGAUGUUUUCUUCAGGCUGCAACACAAAGUAUAAAUCAGAGAAGCACUAGAGAGAAGGCUGGGUAUCCAGUGCCUUUCAUUGAAGAUUGAAGACACCGUCCUUUCUCCAUUGUACUUUCUUGGAUUUUUUUGUUGAAAAUUAGUUCACCAGAUAUGCCUUCUUAUGAAUGAAUCAUGAAAAUGAACUUCUUUUUAAAAGGUAAAACAGUACCAGUAAAUCUUAAAAAGAGAGAGCAGUCUGGGGCUCCUUUGAUAGAGGGCUGGAGCCCGAGAGGACAAGACCGGAGAUGCAGGAUUCCAAGUCCAUUGUCUGCAAAUGAGGAGUGGGGAGCCCGUGCUGGACGAGCAGAGGACUCCCGGAGGGAAGACCACAGGGAGGGAAGACCUGAGGAUGGACCUUUCGUUCUUACGCAUGAAGAUAGGUAGACUAUUCUUACUUUGGGAGGAGCCCAAACAUUUCCUAAGAUAAGGCCUGUUGACUUAUGGGAGGUGGUGUUUCUCUCCUAGAUGAGGAGACCGGUUUACGGCUCUCUGCUUUUGUUCUUCAGGGGUCUCCCACUCACCUGGGAUAAGUGAAAUUCUCAUUGUCCUAGUCCCCCAAGUAGAUGUAGACAGGAAUCCUUAGGACCCUUCUGCCUGGACUCAAGAAGGGAUUGGAAAAAUACAAGGCCAUGUACACAUUACAGGAGCAGAAGUGACGUUUCAAGGACUCAUAUGAGUUCGUCGUGUAGUGUGAGACUUAAAGUGGUUGACAUUAUUCUCUUAUUGUCAUGGGCGGUGACGUCCAGAGGAUAGCAGAGUGUGGUCCAUUCUCAUAAUCCAUACCCUGUGAGGCCUUUAAGCAUCAUUUUUAGGAAAGCAGUGUUGAGUAGGGACAAAACUUAAAAAUGCAGAGGUCACGCAUUACUCGGGGACUUCUUCAGUGGCCCUAACCUCAGACUUCAUCUCAUAAAACAGCCUAGUCCUAGGAGAUGUCAGUUUAAACUCCAAUUUGCCACUUUAUCUCUGUGACCUUGGGACAGCUGACCUGUGCAAGCCUGUUUCCUUCACUGAUAAAUAGGGUUAUGGUACUGGCUUUUCUUACCAACAGGAUUGUGUGAGGCUUGGAGGAAAUAUCUGUGAAAGUGCUUGGAGGUUGCAAAGUGCUGUAUCAGAGUAUGCUGAUAUUGCUACAACUACUAAUCAGUUUGCUCACUCUUUUUUCUUCUUAAAUUUUGAGAGUACGUUUAUUAAAGCUGGGGACAGUGCAACCAGGAAGGGCCCGGGAUAGAAGAAGCGACAGGGGAGAGCCUAGGCAGGGCUGCUUUGGCUGUCCAGGAACGUUGUGGGAAAGAAGUGAGCCAACGCGGGUCUGCUGUCAGCUCACUGGGGAGUCAGAGAAAAAGGGGCUUUGGGGACGGGUUCAGGGGAUUGGCCCUGGAUAAGCUGCUGCUGCCCAUUGCUCCCCUGUUAGCAAGUCUGUGGGGACCCUUAGAGUUUAGGAGAGGCUUGCCUGUGGGGGAAGGGAAGGGAGAAGGGAAAGGCACAGGCAUGCUCCCAGGAGGGAGAACGGCCUGCUCACUCUUAAUUUAAUGCUCUUUUGCAUAACUUCUUUACAGUCCCUCUGCCAAGGACUUAAAGGGCAAGGCCGCAGAAUGGGAGUUUGAGAUGCAGCAUAAAAUACUUCCUCAGGCAGACAUAUUCUAUUUCAUCGGCUCUAUGACGCACUCCCUCUCCCCGCAAAACCCGUCCCUUAACAUCUCUGAAAUUUGGCUGUGCUUUACAACUUGGAGGCAUAAUAGUUAUGAUGAAAUCAGCUAACUCUUUUCUUGGAGCCAAGUGGACCACAUCCACAAACUUUCUGUUUUCUACGUGUAUUGCUGAAAUGCAUGGGGGAAAUUUGCUGCUUCAGUAACUGUAGAAUUCAGUCUGUCUCUGAGCACCUUGCCUCAUAUCAUGGUCAUCCCUUCUCACUGCAUAGAUCUCUGGAAGCGGAAGUUUAGCUUGAACAUGUAUGUCUUGAUCUUGGAGCAUAGCCUGCCUGUUGCUUUAAAGAAAAAACAAAAACAACAAACUCAAGUGGCAAUUUUGUGGUUAUAUCCUGCUUCCUCUGAAAGUGGAAGGCAAGAUGCAUUUUGGUGAAUGGAUUGUUUAUGUUACCUGCAUUUGAUGUCUUGGGCCCUGGCAUGUUAGAAGGUGAGCUUCUGGUCUCCUGUCCCUGUCCUGUCAACUCCUAACAAAAACUCCUCCAAGAGACAGGCCAACAGGUACACUCUUCAUGAAGCUUCUCUUUGGGAUGAAUUCUGUUCUUGCUUCUUUUACCUUUGAAAGCUCUUCAGAUUCAAUGGCAAAUUCUUAGUGCCAAUUCUUGUUUUUCUCCUAUGGUUGAUCUGGGUGUGG
Long non-coding RNA from Phyllostomus discolor (pale spear-nosed bat), 8748 nucleotides. RefSeq lists it as uncharacterized. Lineage: Eukaryota; Metazoa; Chordata; Mammalia; Chiroptera; Phyllostomidae. The transcript is spliced from 2 exons. The record is from RefSeq and is a predicted model, not a curated record.